RNAcentral lists this unclassified non-coding RNA (1302 nucleotides) under Hevea brasiliensis (rubber tree). The record is from RNAcentral. Lineage: Eukaryota; Viridiplantae; Streptophyta; Magnoliopsida; Malpighiales; Euphorbiaceae.
UGUCAGUGGAUUGGAAGGACAAAAUUUUUCUUGAAGACGAUUUUCAGCUCAAGACUGCAGAGUAUGGACGUGAAAAGUUUUCUUCACAUUUCAAAGUUACUCGUAACUUCGCUAGAUGUGUGGCUCCUGAAUAUACUAUUACUAGUAAGUUCACCAAGAAUACCACUGUUUAUUCCUAUGGUGUAAUGCUUUUGGAGAUGAUAACUGGGAAAGAAGAUUUUGAUGAUAUAGUUCAAUGGGGUGUACCUCAACUUAAACGAGCUUUGUCCAAUGGAAACUAUGAUUUUGUUGACAAGAGGUUAAAGGCAUAUAACAAAAAUGAAAUGAAUCGAAUGAUUGCUUGUGCCUUAGCCUGUUUACGUGAUAAUCCACAAGAUCGACCAGAAAUGAGACAGAUAGUUGAAGUUCUGAAGGGAAAUAUUGAUAUGCAAGUUCUCUAAAUGGGGGAACAACAGCUAACGAAGCAAGUCGAGCCAACCUUCGAGAUAGAAUCUCUGCCCAAGCCCAAGAUUAUGACAAGUUGAGCUUGGCUUCAAAAGGAAGUUGUGCAGAAUGGAAAUCUGCACAGUUGUCUUGGAUUUAUUGGUAUAUCUGUAUGGAGAUAAAUUGUACUCGAGGCAUAUACCAGUGCGUUGGUAGGACGACUUUCUUCUUGAUCAUGAUUUUCAACCAAAGGCGGUGCCUCAAUUUAAAUGAUAUUGGUCCAAUGGUAACUACGAUUUUGUUGACAAGAGAUUGAAGGAGUAUAAUUAACAAAUGGAUUGAGUGAUUGCUUGUGCCUUAGCCUAAUUACGUGAUAAUCCACAAGAUCGUCCAGAAAUGAUUCAGAUAGUUGAAGCUCUAAAAGGAAAUAUUGAUCGGCAAGAUCUCUACAAAAGGGAACAACAGCUUAGUCGAGGACCGGGGACCAAGCAAAAGCCUUUAAGCAAGUUGAGCCAAUCCUGGAGAUAGAAUCCCCGCCCAAGCCCAAGAUUUAGGCAACUUGAGCGAGGCCUCAAAAGGAAGUUUAGCAUAGUCUAGAGCCAGCAUCCCGCCCGAGGGGGCAAGCCCGAGAUUUUGGCCGGUUGAGCCUAAACUCAAGCAAGAGUUGAGCUUAGGGACCCCAAGCCUACGAAAAUUGAAGGCUUAGUGCUCUUUGGAUGAGUGAUUCAGUUACAGCCUUUAACAUUUGAACUCGGUCGUUUAUCUUUUACAAAUAUUGUAUAUAGGUUUCAUCAGACAUAACAAUAAUAUAUAUUAUAUAAAUGGUCGUCCAAGUAUAAACAGUUCCAAUCCAAAAAGUCUUAUUAACUUUAAAUUUAU